RNAcentral lists this ribosomal RNA (472 nucleotides) under uncultured bacterium. Its description in RNAcentral is "partial 16S ribosomal RNA". It matches the Rfam family "Bacterial small subunit ribosomal RNA", at positions 28 to 507 of the family's 1533-position model. The record is from RNAcentral.
GACGAACGCUGGCGGCGUGCUUAACACAUGCAAGUCGAACGCUGAAGCUUGGUGCUUGCACUGGGUGGAUGAGUGGCGAACGGGUGAGUAAUACGUGAGUAACCUGCCCUUGACUCUGGGAUAAGCCUGGGAAACUGGGUCUAAUACUGGAUACGACAUGUCACCGCAUGGUGGUGUGUGGAAAGGGUUUUACUGGUUUUGGAUGGGCUCACGGCCUAUCAGCUUGUUGGUGGGGUAAUGGCUCACCAAGGCGACGACGGGUAGCCGGCCUGGGAGGGUGACCGGCCACACUGGGACUGAGACACGGCCCAGACUCCUACGGGAGGCAGCAGUGGGGAAUAUUGCACAAUGGGCGGAAGCCUGAUGCAGCGACGCCGCGUGAGGGAUGACGGCCUUCGGGUUGUAAACCUCUUUCAGCACGGAAGAAGCGAAAGUGACGGUACGUGCAGAAGAAGCGCCGGCUAACUACGUG